UACAGAGGGUGCAAACGUUGUUCGGAAUUACUGGGCGUAAAGCGAGUGUAGGCGGUGUGGUAAGUCGGAUGUGAAAGCCCCGGGCUCAACCCGGGAAGUGCAUUCGAUACUGCCACGCUAGAGUAUCGGAGAGGUUGGUGGAAUUCUCGGUGUAGAGGUGAAAUUCGUAGAUAUCGAGAGGAACACCGGUGGCGAAGGCGACUUACUGGACACAUAUUGACGCUGAGGUGCGAAAGCGUGGGGAGCAAACAGG
RNAcentral lists this ribosomal RNA (253 nucleotides) under uncultured bacterium. RNAcentral describes it as "partial 16S ribosomal RNA". It matches the Rfam family "Bacterial small subunit ribosomal RNA", at positions 524 to 776 of the family's 1533-position model. The record is from RNAcentral.